RNAcentral lists this transfer RNA (73 nucleotides) under Schistocephalus solidus. It matches the Rfam family "tRNA". From Rfam's summary of the family: Transfer RNA (tRNA) molecules are approximately 80 nucleotides in length. Their secondary structure includes four short double-helical elements and three loops (D, anti-codon, and T loops). Further hydrogen bonds mediate the characteristic L-shaped molecular structure. tRNAs have two regions of fundamental functional importance: the anti-codon, which is responsible for specific mRNA codon recognition, and the 3' end, to which the tRNAs corresponding amino acid is attached (by aminoacyl-tRNA synthetases). tRNAs cope with the degeneracy of the genetic code in two manners: having more than one tRNA (with a specific anti-codon) for a particular amino acid; and 'wobble' base-pairing, i.e. permitting non-standard base-pairing at the 3rd anti-codon position. Lineage: Eukaryota; Metazoa; Platyhelminthes; Cestoda; Diphyllobothriidea; Diphyllobothriidae. The record is from Rfam by way of RNAcentral.
CAACCAAAAGCUCAAUGGGUAAAGCAUUUGAUUUCUAAUCAACAGGUCACGGGUUCGAGCCUCGAUUGGUGCA